This 301-nucleotide ribosomal RNA is filed under the name uncultured bacterium. Its description in RNAcentral is "partial 16S ribosomal RNA". It matches the Rfam family "Bacterial small subunit ribosomal RNA", at positions 509 to 807 of the family's 1533-position model. The record is from RNAcentral.
CAGUAGCCGCGGGAAUACGGAGGGCGCGAGCGUUACUCGGAUUUACUGGGCGUAAAGGGCGUGUAGGCGGCCUGGGGCGUCCCAUGUGAAAGGCCACGGCUCAACCGUGGAGGAGCGUGGGAUACGCUCAGGCUAGAGGGUGGGAGAGGGUGGUGGAAUUCCCGGAGUAGCGGUGAAAUGCGCAGAUACCGGGAGGAACGCCGAUGGCGAAGGCAGCCACCUGGUCCACUUCUGACGCUGAGACGCGAAAGCGUGGGGAGCAAACCGGAUUAGAUACCCGCGUAGUCCCUGUCUCUUAUAC